GUUUCUGUAGUGUAGCGGUUAUCACGUUCGCCUCAGAUGCGAAUAGUCCCCGUUUCGAGACCGGGCAGAAACA
RNAcentral lists this transfer RNA (73 nucleotides) under Dallia pectoralis (Alaska blackfish). RNAcentral describes it as "tRNA-OTHER". The record is from RNAcentral. Lineage: Eukaryota; Metazoa; Chordata; Actinopteri; Esociformes; Umbridae.